This 1995-nucleotide ribosomal RNA is filed under the name Pseudobdellovibrionaceae bacterium. RNAcentral's name for it is "Bdellovibrionaceae bacterium (bioreactor metagenome) partial 23S ribosomal RNA". It matches the Rfam family "Bacterial large subunit ribosomal RNA", at positions 1 to 1992 of the family's 2925-position model. Lineage: Bacteria; Pseudomonadati; Bdellovibrionota; Bdellovibrionia; Bdellovibrionales; Pseudobdellovibrionaceae. The record is from RNAcentral.
UUUAAAGCUACAAAGGGCUUACGGUGAAUGCCUUGGCACCAAGAGGCGAUGAAGGACGUGGUAAGCUGCGAUAAGCUUCGGAGAGUGGCACACACACUUUGAUCCGGAGAUUUCCGAAUGGGGAAACCCACCCGCAAGGGUAUUUUUAAAUGAAUUCAUAGUUUAAAAAAGCGAACGAUGGGAAGUGAAACAUCUCAGUACCAUCAGGAACAGAAAUCAAAGCAGAGAUUUCCCUAGUAGUGGCGAGCGAACGGGAAAUAGCCCAAACCUUUUUCAAGCAAUUGGAGAAGGGGUUGUGGGGCCUCAAUAUGAGACUUAAUGUUUUAGAAGAAUUGCCUGGAAAGGCAAGCCAAAGAAGGUGAUAGCCCUGUAUUCGAAAAGACAAAGAGCUCUAGAGGAACCCCGAGUACCACAAGACACGUGAAAUCUUGUGGGAAUCCAGGAGGACCACCUCCUAAGGCUAAAUACUACUUGGUGACCGAUAGUGAACAAGUACCGUGAGGGAAAGGUAAAAAGAACCCCGAGAGGGGAGUGAAAUAGAAUCUGAAACCGUAAGUCUACAAGCAGUAGGAGCUCUUUAUAUGAGCGACUGCGUACCUUUUGCAUAAUGAGUCAGCGAGUUAUUUUAGCAGGCAAGGUUAAGCCGUUUAAGGUGGAGUCGUAGCGAAAGCGAGUCUGAAUAGGGCGUUUAGUCUGUUGGAAUAGACCCGAAACCCGGUGAUCUAUUCAUGGCCAGGCUGAAGCGAGGGUAACACCUCGUGGAGGGCCGAACUAGUUGAGGUUGAAAACUCUUUGGAUGAGCUGUGAAUAGGGGUGAAAGGCCAAUCAAACCGGGUGAUAGCUGGUUCUCCCCGAAAUAUAUUUAGGUAUAGCCUUGGAUAAAUUCUAUUACGGAGGUAGAGCACUGAAUGGGCUAGGGGUCUUUACCGGAUUACCAAACCCAAAUAAACUCCGAAUGCCGUUAAUAGUUACUCCAGGAGACAGACCUAGGGUGAUAAGGUCCUAGGUCGAGAGGGAAAGAGCCCAGAACAUCAGCUAAGGUCCCUAAAUCUACACUCAGUGGAGAACGUUGUGGGGUUACUUUGACAACUAGGAGGUUGGCUUAGAAGCAGCAAUCCUUUAAAGAAAGCGUAAUAGCUCACUAGUCUAGUGACCCUGCGCGGAAGAUACAACGGGGCUAAGUGUAGUACCGAAGCUAUGUCUUGUCGUAAGACAGGGGUAGGGGAGCGUUCCGCGAUAGGAUGAAGGUUGACCGUUAGGACAGCUGGACGAUGCGGAAGUGAUCAUGCUGACAUAAGUAGCGUUGAACUCGGGUGAAAAACCCGGGCGCCGAAAACUCAAGGAUUCCUGGGCAAGGAUAAUCCUCCCAGGGUUAGUCGAGACCUAAGAUGAGGCCAAUUGGCGUAGUCGAUGGAAGAACGGUUAAUAUUCCGUUACCAAUUUCGGAUUGCCUUCGGAAUGACGGAUUAGGCUAUCUCAGCCUGUAAUUGGAUUCAGGUGUAAGCAUGUAGGUGGUGUCGUAGGUAAAUCCGCGGCACUUAACACUGAGGUGUGAAUGCGAGGGUCGUUUGACCCGGAAGUGAGAAAAGCCAUGAUUCCAAGAAAAGUUUCGUUGGUCCAAGAAAUUGCUCGUACCGUAAACCGACUCAGGUGAGUGGGGUGAAUAUCCUAAGGCGAUGGGGUGAAUCUUGGUUAAGGAACUCGGCAACUUAACACCGUAACUUCGGGAAAAGGUGUGCCUGAGAGCGUGUAAGGACUUGCUCCCCAAGCGCUUUCAGGUCGCAGAGAAAUGGGAGUAGCGACUGUUUAUCAAAAACACAGGCAUGUGCAAAGUCUCAAGACGACGUAUACAUGCUGACGCCUGCCCGGUGCUGGAAGGUUAAGAGGAUUUGUCAGCGCAAGCGAAGCAGAGAAUCGAAGCCCCAGUAAACGGCGGCCGUAACUAUAACGGUCCUAAGGUAGCGAAAUUCCUUGUCGGGUAAGUUCCGACCUGCA